RNAcentral lists this ribosomal RNA (247 nucleotides) under uncultured bacterium. RNAcentral describes it as "partial 16S ribosomal RNA". It matches the Rfam family "Bacterial small subunit ribosomal RNA", at positions 15 to 265 of the family's 1533-position model. The record is from RNAcentral.
GAUCAUGGCUCAGGACGAACGCUGGCGGCGCGCCUAACACAUGCAAGUCGAACGAGCGAGAGAGAGCUUGCUUUCUCGAGCGAGUGGCGAACGGGUGAGUAACGCGUGAGGAACCUGCCUCAAAGAGGGGGACAACAGUUGGAAACGACUGCUAAUACCGCAUAAGCCCACGGCUCGGCAUCGAGCAGAGGGAAAAGGAGCAAUCCGCUUUGAGGUGCCGUCCGUCCGGUCCGGUACGUUAAGUACG